UCUUCCUCUCAGAAAAAGCGUAUUUCCUCUCGUAGGGGCAGCGAUUUCACUGCUUACGUCGGACCACGACGGCUUCAAGCAGCAGUAGGUUCCAUUGCUGCAGGUUCUCUCUCUCUCUCUCCCUAAGGAACUUAUUUUCUUCUCAGAGGGCGGCGAACAGAACAAAAGCAUCAACUGAGUUUAGUUUCUCCUCAUCUGACUUUUUGCAGUACUUUUUCCGUCGCUGAAAUUAUCGAGGAACUUCAAGUUGGAACUUAUCUGGGACUCGGCUUUUUCCAAGUAUAGGGAACUUGACUAAUCUCCAGAAAGUGUUAAACCAAGUACGAAGGAGAGAAAACUAUGGGAGAUAAAGACAUUGGUCUAGAUGUUGAGAAUCAGCCUCGGAUAGGCAUGGAGUUUAAUUCAGAGAAUGAGGCAUAUGAUUUCUACAAUAACUACGGAGGAAGGAUGGGUUUUAGUGUUAGGAGAGACUAUGCGCAUAAGAGUAGAAAAGAUAAGGCAACCAUAACUUCAAGGAGAUUCGUUUGUAGUAAACAAGGAUAUCGGAAAAAAGAUAAGCGAUGUCUUGAUCCAAGGAAACCUCAAGCAGAGACAAGAACCGAUUGUCCUGCACGCAUGGGAAUUGCGAUUAUGGAUAAUGGAAAAUACCAAUGUCGUGAUUUUGUUGAAGAGCAUAAUCACCUUCUUCAUCUACCGGUUACCAUUCAUAUGAUGCGGUCACAACGGAAAAUUUUAGAUGCACAUGCUUCUAAAAUUGAUUUAGCUGAUGAUUCCGGAAUCAGACCUGAUGCCAUAUUGGAGUACAUGGAUGGGCACGCAAGAAACCAUGGGUAUGCCCGAAAAGAUCAUAAGAAUUAUCUCCAAACCAAACGUCAGCAUGAUUUAUCUUAUGGUGAAGCCGGGAGUUUGUUAUUAUACUUCGUAAAACAAACUAAGGUCAAUCCCUUUUUUACUUACUCAUUACAGUUGGAUAAUGAAGAACAGAUAACAAAUAUCUUUUGGGCUGAUCCAAAGAUGAUAACAGAUUUUGCACAGUUUGGUGAUGUUGUUACCUUUGAUACUACAUUUUGCACUAACAAAGAAUAUAGGCCAUUCGGAAUAUUUGCUGGAUUUAAUCAUCAUAGAGGAGUUGUCAUAUUUGGGGCUGCAUUGUUGUAUGAUGAGACAGCUGAAUCUUUUAGAUGGUUGUUUGAGGCAUUCUUGGAAGCUCAUGGACAAAAGAAACCUAUAACCAUUUUUACUGAUCAAGAUGAUGCAAUGGGAAAGGCAAUAGCUGAGGUUUUUCCUGAAACAUGGCACCGAUUGUGUACUUGGCAGAUUAUGCAAAAUGGCAUAAAGCAUCUAGGGAAUUUGAUGAAGGAUGGAACAAGCUUUCUAAAAGAUUUCAAAGCUUGUAUGUAUCAUUAUGAGGGAGAAUUAGAAUUUGAAAAGGUGUGGGAAAAAUUGCGCAAUGAUUAUGGAAUUAAAGAUGGUUCAUGGUUUGAUCGUCUUUAUGGGUUAAAAGAGAAAUGGGCUAAGUGUUAUAUGAAGAAGACUUUCACCAUUGGUAUGCAGAGUACACAGCUUAGUGAAAGUUUGAAUGGGGACUUGAAGGAUUACUUGAAAGUUAGUUUGGAUGUUAUGCAAUUUCUUAAGCAUUUCGAAAUGGUAGUGAAUGUUAAGCGUAGUAAUGAGCUAAAGGCUGAGUUUGAUGCAAGAAAUAAGCUGCCAAGAAAUAUGUUUUCCAAGUCACCUGUUAUGAAACAAGCAGGAGAAGUUUACACUCCUCAGAUAUUUGAAGAAUUUCAAGAGGAGUAUAACUGGAUUAGUGCUUGCUACAUAAAAUUUCGGAAUGAAAGUAAUGCCUUGCGUGAGUAUGUAGUUGCUAUUUUUGAGCAAGAAGGGGAUUUUAAAGUUUUGUGUAACCCAUUUGAAGCUAUGAUUGAAUGUAGCUGCAUGAAAUUUGAGACAUUUGGCAUUUUGUGUUGUCAUGCUUUGAAAAUUCUUGAUGUGCUAGAUGUCAAGUUUAUUCCUAAAGCCUAUAUUUUGAGGAGAUGGACACGAGCAGCAAGAAAUAUGGUGGUGGAAGAUGAUAAGGAAAAACAGGUUGAAAAAGAUGUUCAUUUGGAUUGUACACAACGUUAUGGGCUUCUUUGCUUGAAACUUGUUCAGAUAGCAUCACAAGCAUCUAAAUCAGGAGAAGGAUAUGCUUUGGUAAACAAAGCUGCUAUUGAGUUGUGUAAACAGCUUGAAAAUCUUUACAUUGAUGUCCCACAUCUAGGUGUGUCAAGUGAGGGUCCUCGUGUAAAAACGAUAGAAGAGUUGGGUGGAAAAAAAAGGAAAGAGAAAGAAAAAAGUUCUUACACCUAAUUCUCAAGCUUCUCAAGAACUACAAUUUGGUACACUGGAAUCCUUCACAUGGAUCUCAAGAAAUGGAGAACAAGAAGAGUUUUACUUCCCUAUUAAUGGGAUUAUUUGAUUGUUCCCAGCCUCAACAAUUUUCCUCCCUAGCCUGAACAUCUAUGGUCCUCCAUACUCAAGCAGAGGAAAUGGUGGAUAGAGUUAACCAUCCAUUUACCAAUUGUUUUGCAUGAUUGGGAUCAUAUCUGUAUUUACUUCAGAACACAGUUGGAGUGCCCUUGUAGCUAGACAUGUUUGAGAUGUGUGAGCUGAGAGAAAUUUCUGUUCCCACACGUAGAAGUGGGUUCCAACCACCAUCCACCUUCCAAACAAUGGGAUAUAGAUCUAAUGUUAAAGAUGAUGGUGACCAAGGUUCCAAUUAUAGAGUUCCUAACAACCAACUAGAUAAGGUUCCUAUUGGUGCUGGCAGUGAGAUAGAUUAUCAUCACAGAAGUUCUAAACAUGGGAAAUCCUCGCCAAAGAGGCAAGCAACUAGUGGUUCAAAGUGUACUCUGUCAGUUACUCUGGUUGCUUCUUUGUACCAGAAGGAUGCGCAUAUACUGCUUUCUUGUUCAGUUGGUAAGGAAAAAUCACCAAAUAUCCGAAGAGCUCAGCAGGACUGUAUUUUGCCAAACAGACCAGAGGGAAAUGGCUCAAGACAUCCAAAGAACUCAUUGAUCCAUUCUGUUGAUGACAAGGAGUGCCCUGUUCAUUCUCAUAGCAGGCUGAAAUCUUUCCAAAGAGCUCAGAUCAGUCAACACCAAUCAUUUAAGAUACUUAUAUAGCUUCUGCCAACCUGCGAGAUAGGCUUUGUAAUUGCAAGGAGAUAUGCCUUCAAGAUGAAAAACUUCAAACCCAGACAUAGAGCUCUUCUUGUGCUCCACUAUUGAAGUUCAGUUUAAUGUUCUCUAAAUCAGAAGGAAUUUACAGUUGAUAUCAGGGUAGAAUAUUGCUUGGGCCAUCAGCUUUGGGUCGUAGCAAGAUAUUCUUGAAUUCAGUUUUCCCACCCAGGAGCCCAACCGUAUUAGACACUCAGGCUAAUCUUGGCCCCCUCUUCUUUUUCUUCCUCGUAGGCCUAGAAUUAGAUCCUACAUCUAUCCGAAGAACUGGAAAGAAAGCUCUUGCCAUAGCCGUUUUAGAAAUUGAUUCAUCCUUUGUGCUUCGGAAAGCUAUCUCUAAAGGGGUGCAUGGACCUCCACUCCUUGUCUUCAUGGGUGUAGUUCUGUCCAUUACUACCUUUUCUGUCUUGGCCCAUAUCCUUGCUGAGCUUAAGCUCCUCAACACUGACAUGGGCAGUUGGCCAUGUCAGCUGCCACGGUUAAUGUGGCCAUGUGGAUCUUACUAGCCCUUGCCAUUGCCCUCUCAACCACUGGCCACUCAACUAUUGUCUUGCUAUUAUGGGUAUUUCUUUCUGGUUCUCUUUUUGUUAUCUGUGCCAGCAUACUGCUCCUCCCAGUCUUUAAUUGGAUGGCCAAGUGUUUCCAGGAAGAAGAACCUGUGGAUGAGUUAUACAUAUGUGUCACCUUAGUGGUAGCAUUGGUAGCUGGGUAUGUCACAGAUUCUAUAGGAAUCCAUGCUCACUUUGCUGCUUUGUGGUUGGAAUUUUGUUCCCUAAAGAUGGACACUUUGCUGGUGCUCUUGUGGAAAAGUUGGAAAAUCUAGUGUCUGGCCUUUCCCUUCCUCUGUAUUUUGUACCAAGUGGGUUGAAAACCAAUGUAGCCACAAUUCAAGGGGCGCAAUCAACAAAUAUAACAAAGAGCCCAUGCCCUGACCACAUGUCCUGACCCCAUGCCCCCCCUAUCCCACCACCGGCAACCACUAAUGAACACCCCUGAGCCCAUGAUCCUCCUUCCUCUUCCACCCCCUCCCUCCCCUCCUCUCGACAGCCAUCCCUGGACCUCCGUUGUGUCUUCCUCUCCUCUCCACCCUCCUCCCACCACUGGCCACUCUGUUUACUUCCACCUACCCUCCUCCCUUAACUCCAUCACUAUCGGACUCUUGCCCCCCGGGGCUUUUGGAAUCUGAGAUCAGCAAAUGGAAGAGCUGUGUCGUCAGUUCCUUCUGGACAGCCGCCAUCCUUUUGUUGUUGUUAAGUCCUCUCUCCAUAACCAAUGGAGACCCUUGGGUUCUCUUUCCACCUUCAUGCUUGAUAACAGAAUUUUCAUCUUCAAUUUCUCCGUUGACAAAUCCAUUGCCAUUGAUGGUGGCCUUUGGUAUGUGGGCAAAAAACCUAUUUUUUUGAGACGGUGGGACGAACGCACCUCCUUCUAGCGUUCAGAACCGACUUCCAUCCCUCUUUGGAUUUCCCUCCCCAACCUUCCCCUUCAAUUCCGGUGUGUUAAGGGCCUCAUUGGUUCCAUCAUAGGCAGGCCGCUCUACUCGAACAAGUGAACGAAAACCAUUGAUCGACUCUCCUUUGCCCGAAUUUGUGUUGAGUUCUCGGCCGACCAGGUUCUACCCUCUAUAGUCACCAUUCUAGACGGAGAAGACUAUUCCUUUGAACAAGGGAUAAAAUAUGACUAGAUCCCCCUUCUGUGUACCACUUGCAAAUGCUUUGGGCACUCUACAGUGCUUUGUGUAAAAAAAAAAUAUAUUAAAUAACACGGAGGCAGGGAAAAUCUGGCGGAUUCAAUCGAAGGUCCAUUGAUGCUUGGUCUUCAUGCUCCUCUCACAAGCUCGCCUUUGGCUUCCCAACAUCCUGAUAACCUCAAUUUGGAUCAGCUCCCUAAGAGAACACUCAUGAGGAGGAAACGAGAUAGGAAUCACCGACCUCUGGCUGUGAACUUUGACGGACAUGCUUCUUUGUCUCGAUCCAUUGGUCCGAUAAAAGAUCCCGACAGCAUUAACUGCUUCUCCCUGCUGACUUGCCCGGAUGUUCCAGAUGAUACUAUCGCCCUAUCACCUCAUCCCACUUCCCCACACCGCCUCUCUGUCCAUUCUAUCCCUUCUACCCCUCCCCCUCUUGUGCUGGCCAACAGCUUCUAUGCCUCGAACCAUGAGCCAUGCCUCCUCCCUUCUGUCUCCUCAACCUCUAACCUCCCACCUCUACUUCCUCUAACUUCUUCGCUACUCCCUUUGACGGAAAUCCUCUGUACUUCUGUCUCCACCUCACCUCUUAUAUCUUCUCCAACCAACCCCUAACCACGCGAUCCAACCAAACCCCCCUUUCAUCCCUCUUAACCAGUUCCUCCCGAUUUAGUUGCUAUCCAAAUUCUCCAAGUUCCCUUUGAACCACCCGCUCUACCUGGGUAAUUUAUAUAACCCAACCCAUACCAACCCGAACACAUUUUCUGACUCACCUACAUCUUCAUCCUUCUCACCUGACCCAUACCCACCCUCUUUGAACUAGGUCCACCACCCAUAUCCACCUUCUCCCUCACCCGCUUCUUCUUCCUGCCCUUAACUGUUGCACGAUGUCCUUCCUGUCCAGGUUGCUGUCUCCGCCCACUGCUCCGCAGUUGGCCCUCAGGAUGACCCCACAUCUUGGCUUCCCCCUUUUUUUCAAGUGGGUCUUUCUCGCAUGUGACACCAUCCACCCUCGCCAAUUUGGUCACCUCUGGCCCCGUUGACUUCUCUGCAACCAACAUUGCCUUCUCUUGCUUGACCCUGCCCGCUGCGACUGUGCUUCUUGCCUCUGUGUUUUCGCCUGGCCUCCUGUUGGGCUAUGAUGCUGCUGUGGAGCUUCCUUUAGCUCCUCUACUCUCUCACACACCUUGCGUCAACUACGACUCUCCGAAUUGCUUGGCUCAUGCAAAGCUGCCAAUGAACUUUACUGAUGGUACCUUAGCUUUUGGGCUCCCUUCUAGCCUACGCCAGUCUUGCCUGGGGCGGCAAUGCCUUUUACUGCUCCUACUGGUGCUCCCCACCUUGGUCUCCUGCCUGCCCCCUCUCUGUGCCUUGACACUGGCCUCCAUCCAGACACUAACCUCCUGGGCUCUUCUCUAAAAGCAACUCCCCCCUCCGGGAACCAUGGUCUGUAGUCCUCUAGCCCUAUGGCUAAGGAAACAUCUACUCAUCCCAAGUCUAGACUCUAGACUCUAGACUAGCCCCUCUAGACCCCACCAGAAAUCCUGCUGCUGCCCAAAAGAAGGUUAUGUCUUCCCUGCCCCGCCCCAAAGGUCUUUCUGACCCCAAACCUUCCACUACCCUUUCGGCCAAAAUCCAAAACUGGCCCAUCCACCUGCUCUGAUGAGUCUCGGCUGCCCUCCACUCUCGUUCCAAAUGAUACCUUGGACUAUCUGGAAUGUCAAAGGUCUCAAUUCCUCUGCCAAACACGCAUCCAUUCGCUCCCGUAUUAAGUCUCCAAAGAUGUUAUAUGUUGUCUCCUUGAAACUCGUGUUCUCGAAGCCAAUGCCCCUCGCAUCAUUGCAUCAAUUGCUCCUUCUUGGUCAUUCAUUUCCAACUAUGCCCACUCCCCAAACGGGCGCAUUUGGAUCCUUUGGAACCCUUUUUUUUAUUCACAUCUCCCAUAUUGCCUCUUCCUCCCAAGUCAUCCAUUUUUCCUUCUCCCCUCCCUCGGGCUCCCCCUUCUCCUUCUUCUCUGUUGUCUAUGCACAUAAUCAUGCCCCCAUAGACUUCCUCUCUGGUUCGACCUCCUCUCCUUCUCCUCCACCCUCUCCUCCCUUCCCUGUGGCAUCGGAGGAGAUUUCAUUGUGGUUAGGGCAUCCCAUGAGAAAUUUAGCAGUGCCCCUAUUGACAUCCCCUCCUCUGACUCCUUCAAUGAGUGUAUUGAGGAUAUUGGUAUGGAUGACCUUAGAUGGUCCAGUUCCAAAUUCACCUGGCAGAAUGCUUGACUGUCUCCUUGUCAAUGAAGCUUGGCUCACCUCCUUUCCUUCCUCCCACACUAGUUUUAAUCUCCCCGGCAUCUCUGAUCAUUCUUCCUCUUUGUCCAAUCCUAUAUCUCCUUUGGCCCCAAACCUUUCAAAUUUUUCGAUAUGUGGUCCCUUCAUGAUGGAUUUCUCCCCUUGGUCAGGCCCAUCAGGGAUACCUGGGCCAUCCCCACUACUAUCUUCUCUUCUCCUCUCAUUGCUUUUGCCAGAAAGCUCAAGAAUGUCAAAGCAGCUCUCAAACCCUGGAACUCUACCACUUUCGGUAACAUCUCUUCUCUGGUCUCUUCUUGCCUAGAGAAACUUGACCUUAUUUAAUCCAGGCUUCAGCUGGACCCCUCAAUUCUUCCCUAGCUGAUGAAGAAAAGCUGGCGGCUUUGGACCUCUCCUCCCACCUUGUUCAAGAAGAAUCUUUCCUUCGUCAGAAAUCCAGGAUCAAAUGGCUUGAGCUCUGUGACUCCAAUUCGGCCUACUUCCAUUGCUCCCUCAAAGCCCGAACCAAUGCUAACUCCAUUCUCAAGCUCAUCUUCCACUCCGGUGCGGGGCUUCUCUCCCCCAAUGAUAUCAAAGUUGAAGCCGUCUCCUACUUCGAUGACCUCUUCCAUUCCCCCCUCCACUUCCACCUCUACCCCUUCCCUACCCCCCAACAUCCUUAACAAAUUCAUUUAUGAUCACCUUAUGCUAUCUCUUCAAGCCAUCCCCUCGGAUGAUGAGAUCCUUUCCCUUGUCCUUCACCACAAGUCUAAUAAAGCUCUUGGACCUAAUGGCUUUAGCAUGGGAUUCUUUUUCACUUGUUGGCAUAUCAUCCGCGAUGACCUCAUCUUUGCCAUUCGUAGCUUCUUCCUAAUCCCUCCCAAAUCUCAGGCAUCAACCACUCCUUCAUCUGCCUCAUCCCCAUGGAGGGCGCUCAAUGCAUGUCUGACUUUAGGCCCAUCUCCCUUUGUAAUCUUCUAUAUAAACUUAUUGCCAAGAUCCUCGUCAAUCGGAUCCAAAAGGUUAUUGACUCCCUUGUCAGUCCGAACCAACCUGCCUUCAUUGCUGGAAGAAGUAUCUUUGACAACAUCAUCCUUUGCCAUGAGAUCGUCAGAGGCUUCAAUCGUAAAUCCCACUCUUCUGUUGCCCUUCUUAAGAUCGAUAUUCAUAAGGCAUUUGAUUCUAUCCGCUGGGAUUUCAUCUCCAAAGUCCUACUUCAAAUGUCUGCCCCCUUUUUGUCCACUGGAUUAUCUCUUGCAUCUCCCCCCCCCCCCCCCCGCUUUUUAUGUCCUCAUCAAUGGCAGCCCUGCAAGCUACUUCUCCUCCUCUGUGGGCAUCAGACAAGGAUGCCCCCUCUCCCCCUUCCUCUUCUAUCUGGCUCUUGAAGUUCUCUCCCGAUCCAUCCAAUCAUCCGCUGACCUUAUCUCCCCCGUUCUCAAAUGAAAAUCCCUCAUGCUAACCCACCUGGCCUUUGUUGAUGAUCUUAUGAUCUUCUCUAAAGCCGACCCUAGCUCCAUCACCAAUAUCAUGGCAUUGCUUCACCUUUUCGAGUCCCUCUCCGAUCUAAAAAUCAACCUCCUCAAAUCCAACCUCUCUUCCUUUUGGGUGUUUCUUAUGCCCGUCAAGCCCAGCUCCUUGCCAUCUCUGGUUUCUCCCUGGGAACCCUCCCCGUCAGAUACCUUGGUCUCCCUCUUCUAUCCUUUCGUCUCUCUUUCCACCACUGUUCCCCCAUCCUUGAUUCCAUCAGGAAAGGCUCCAACUUUGGAAAGGCAAGUUUCUCUCCUAUGUUAGCCGCCUUGUUCUUAUUCAAUCUGCUCUCCAAUCCCUCUUACCUUUAUUGGUCUAGCAUUUUUAUCCUCCCUGCUUCCACAUCCAAAGCUAUUGACUCUCUCCUCUGCGCCUUUCUUUGGAAAGGAACUGAUGCCACCAAAUUCCUCCACCCCAUGAGCUGGUCCAAUGUUUGUCGCCCAAAAGCUGAAGGGGGUUUGGGCCUUCGUAAAAUCAAAGAUGUCAACUCUGCUGCCAUCCUUAAGCUCAUUUAGAAGACUUGUCUCCAAGCAACGCAGUAUCUAGGUCUCCUGGAUAUUAUCCGUCCCCCUUAAAAAUGAUAUCCUCUGGAUAGCCCCCCUUUCCCCAGAUGCUUCCUGUAUUUGGCGUAGCAUUCUCAAUUCCAGACCUCUCGACCUUUCUGCCAUCUCCUGCAUUAUUUGCAACGACUCCUCCACCUCGCUCUGGCUUGGUCCUUGCCACCCUACUGGCAUCCUUCUCCCUUGGUCUCCCCAAAAUCAUCUCCUCCUUUGGCUCCACCAGAUCCGCCAUCGUGGCCUCCAUCCUCUCACUCGACGGUUGGUUCCCUCCGUUUCUCCCUCCCCCUUGGUGGAUCUGUGGUCCUCCCUCCCCCCAUUCCCCCUAGCCAUAGAGGAUUAGAUGAUAAUGUUAUUUGGGUGCCCUUCUCCUCGGGCUUGUUCACCUCCGCCUCUGCUUGGAACUUUAUCCUCUCCAAAGACCCUUUUAUUCCUUGGCGAAAUAUCAUAUGGUUUAAAGGGCACAUUCCUUGUCAUAGUUUCAUGGCCUGGCGAGCCCUCUCCUACUGCCUCCCCACGCAGUCCUUCCUUAAUUACCGCCACAUUCAGGUCUCUAUCUUCUUCUAUCUAUGCUGGAACGGUACUGAAGAUGUCGACCAUCUUUUCUUCUCCUGGCCCUUCUUUGCUUCCAUCUGGAAGAAGAUCCUCCACUCAUGCUGGCCCUCCACCCGUCGCAUCUUCCCCCUUCCCCACGGAUGGAUAUGGGUUGACAUGACCUUUGGCUCCUCCAUAUGUGACAGAGUCGGAAAGCUCGCCUUUUGUGCCACCAUCAACCACCUUUGGAUGGAACGAAAUCUUCGUAGAUGGACCCCCAACUCCCGUUCUUUUGAAAUGAUUUGGAAAGCCAUCUACGUUGAUGUUACCUCCAAGCUUAGAUCCCUCCGCCACCUCCCAGUUCGUGACACCCCAAGGAACAAGCUCAUUGUUGUCCCCCCAAAUUGAUGUCUCCCCUAGAUAGUUGGGCUUAGCCCCCCCCUUCCCUCCAAGGGUUUGUUCCUUUUGCCCCCCCCCCUAUUCCCCCCU
This is an RNA transcript of Macadamia integrifolia, 10285 nucleotides long. It is a transcript of the gene named protein FAR1-RELATED SEQUENCE 5-like, with no coding region annotated. The transcript has 6 exons. The record is from RefSeq and is a predicted model, not a curated record. Lineage: Eukaryota; Viridiplantae; Streptophyta; Magnoliopsida; Proteales; Proteaceae.